Small nuclear RNA from Ophiostoma piceae, 195 nucleotides. It matches the Rfam family "U2 spliceosomal RNA". From Rfam's summary of the family: U2 is a small nuclear RNA (snRNA) component of the spliceosome (involved in pre-mRNA splicing). Complementary binding between U2 snRNA (in an area lying towards the 5' end but 3' to hairpin I) and the branchpoint sequence (BPS) of the intron results the bulging out of an unpaired adenosine, on the BPS, which initiates a nucleophilic attack at the intronic 5' splice site, thus starting the first of two transesterification reactions that mediate splicing. The record is from Rfam. NCBI's taxonomy places the organism in Eukaryota, Fungi, Ascomycota, Sordariomycetes, Ophiostomatales, Ophiostomataceae.
UUAGCUCUCUUUGCCUUUUGGCUUAGAUCAAGUGUAGUAUCUGUUCUUUUCAGUUUAAUCUCUGAAAUUACUCUACGGAGUAAAAUCUAGAUUAAUCUAAUUUUUGAUCGCCGGCGGACAAUCCUCUGGGCUUGCCCAUGAUUGACUGCCACUGUGUCCUUGGUAUUACACUGUCUCCAAGCGACGCGAAUCUGU